UUUCUUCUCUCUAAAAUGGCGAUAAUAAUAGUACCUACCUCACAGAGUUGCUGCAAGGAUUAAAUGAAUUAGUACACGUAAAACACUUAUCAGAUGGUAGGCAAUUAUCAUUAUUGUCCUUCAUAUUUUUAUUGACAAGAACAGUGCUUAAACUAAGCAGGCACACAGCAGGUGUUUUUUGAAUAAAUAAAUGAAUAAAGGAGAGAAAAUGUACAUGAUGGUUCUUUCUAACAGAUUCCAAAGUCAAAGAUAGACCGUCCUCUCACCCAUAGUUUUCCCACAGCAAUUAAUAUGAGGUUUAUAAUAGGUGAUCAAUAAAUAUUUGUGGAGCGUGCUUUAUAAAUAUUAAUCCAGUGACUGGCAGAUUGAGAAGGAUAAAAAUAAUAAAGAUGCAAUGAAUUAGGCUCAUAUCAAAUAAAUGGUGAUGGCAGAUUUGACAUGAAGGUUGUGAGACACAUUUCUCUCUUGUUUUAAAGCUCCCCGUUGGGAAGAUUAUUAAACUUGCAUGCUUGGCUUUCUCCAGACUCUAGUUCUGUAAUAACAUGGCGGCUACCAACUGGGGUCACGGAGGGAGCCAGGGCCACGCAGCAGGAGAAUCCUGACACUGAGAGUCUCUCGCCUCCAAAGGGCAGAUGUGGACCCUGGACCCUGCCUCUGGGGAAGGUGAAGCGAGCCAUGCAACAGCUCUGCAGGAGACCUGGCCAAUCGGGACUCUGCAGCCCCGAGGAAGGCUGCCACCGCACUGAGGCUUUGGCUGAGAAAAGUGAAUCAACUGAGGAUUGCGAAAAAGCAGAUUAAAAAAAAAAGCCCUUUUUGGCAGAUUGUACAGGCAGAAUCUAUUGAUGCUUUUAUCCUUAAAGAUGACUUGAUUUCCAUCCCCAGCACAUGGUUGUGCCAUGGAUCAAUAUUUGCUGGAGAUCUGUUCCAAUUAAAAUGUGAGAGAAAAACUUUUAUCUGUCUCCGCCAGUCUUUCUUCAUAUUUUGAUGAUUGACUCAUCUCAAAGAUGGAGAGUUAAGUACAAUUUAAGCCACUGCCACCACCAACAUCAAGCAAACAAACAAGCGUGAAGUCAGAAGCCCUGUGGCCCAGCCCUAAAGUCUGCUGCCUUGCUAAGGACUAAGUCACAUCCCCCCAAACCUCAGCUUAUUCGCCUACACAACAGGGUUGAUAACCCCUGUCUUGGAAACUUCUUAGGAGGCUCAAUGAGAUGCCGUGAAGAGGCAAUUGGAAACUACAUGUACAUCACCUCAUAUUUUUGCCCAUAGAUCAUUCAAGCAUCUGUCCUUUGCCCUAGAGGAAGACCAUUCCCAACCUACACUACCAACAAGUUCUAGAAGUCAACAAGUUUGAAAUGUUGUUCCCACGAGGGCCUCUCAGAACAGCAGUCCACUUGCCCUGCUGGGUGUAUGUUGCCCAAUCCUGACCCCAUUUAGGCAUCAAUUCAAUCAUUCUCAAUUAAGAUCGUCUGCCUGAACAUUGGAGUUAAGAGUAGAAUAAUCACACUUAGCCAGUUUUUUAAAUUCUUUUUACAAGAAAAUUUAUUUUAAAAUUAUUUUGGGUCAAGUUUAUUGAGGAUAAUUUACAUAUACUAAAAUUCACUCUUUUUAGUAUACAGAUCUAUGAGUUUGAACAAACAUAUAAUCUUGUGUGACCACCAUGAGGAUCAACAUAUGGAACAUUUCUGUCACCUCCAGAAAUGCCCCUGCUCCCUUUUGUGGUCAACCUCUUUCCCUUUUCCAGCACCUGGCAACCAUUAGUUGGUUUUCUGUCUCUAUAGUUUUGCCUUUUCCAGAAUGUCAUGAAAAUGCAAGCAUAGGGCGUAUAGCCUUUUGGGUCUGGCUUCCUUCACUCAGCAUAACACAUUCGGGAUUCAUCCAUGUCGUUACAUGUGUCAAUAGUUUGUUCCUUUUUAUUGCUGAGUAGUAAGUAGUCCAAUGCGUGGAUGUACUGCAGUUUCUAUAUCCAUUCAUCAGUUGAAAGACAUUGAGAUGUUUCCAUUUUUUUGGUGAUCAUAAAUAAAGCUAUAAACAUUUGUGGAAACUGUUUCAUAUGUAUAUACAUUUUCAUUAGACGUUUGGUUUUAAGAGACAUAUUUUAGUUCUAGAUGAACAAUCAGAGACUGAAAGAUUUGGGGACCCCUGGGGAGAGGAGAGAGUAUGUUUCCUUUAGCAGUCAGUCAGGCCCAGACCUGUCAGUUAAACAUGGGCUAGUUGGAGCAAGAGACUGUUAUUAUUUUCACUGAGGAUAUUUUUCAAAUAGAAAUUAAAAUUAACUCUACUUUUCUGAGCCCCUGGGGAAGAAUGUAAGUACAUGAUGGCGACCAUCAAUUUAGGGGGCC
This is a non-coding RNA of Equus caballus (horse), 2339 nucleotides long. The record is from RefSeq and is a predicted model, not a curated record. NCBI's taxonomy places the organism in Eukaryota, Metazoa, Chordata, Mammalia, Perissodactyla, Equidae.